Molecule: non-coding RNA, 181 nt
Filed under: Ruminococcus flavefaciens
Lineage: Bacteria; Bacillati; Bacillota; Clostridia; Eubacteriales; Oscillospiraceae
Description: 6S / SsrS RNA
Rfam family: 6S / SsrS RNA
About the family: E. coli 6S RNA was the first non coding RNA to be sequenced, but its function was unknown until recently. It consists of 184 nucleotides that fold into an extended hairpin structure with a large single-stranded internal bulge.
Source: RNAcentral
UAUUCUGCCUUGUUCGGUGUAUUAUAGUUCAUUUGAUCCAACACAUUUUACUAGGGAAUUCAGCUCCGUGUGCGGACUGCAGACCUCCCGCCCUGCGGAAGAAGGGAGCGAGAAACAUUCGGGCGUUUACCCACCUGCUUAGUGCGGGUUUCAUUCACUAUAUGACGGCAAGGCGGAUAUU